RNAcentral lists this ribosomal RNA (473 nucleotides) under uncultured Bacteroidota bacterium. RNAcentral describes it as "bacterial SSU rRNA". It matches the Rfam family "Bacterial small subunit ribosomal RNA", at positions 94 to 565 of the family's 1533-position model. Lineage: Bacteria; Pseudomonadati; Bacteroidota. The record is from RNAcentral.
ACCGGCAAACGGGUGCGGAACACGUACAGAACCUUCCUUCGAGCGGGGAAUAGCCCAGAGAAAUUUGGAUUAAUACCCCAUAGUAUAAUGAAGAGGCAUCUCUUUGUUAUUAAAGAUUUAUCACUUGAAGAUGGCUGCGCGGCUGAUUAGGUAGUUGGCGGGGUAACGGCCCACCAAGCCUGCGAUCAGUAACUGGUGUGAGAGCACGACCAGUCACACGGGCACUGAGACACGGGCCCGACUCCUACGGGAGGCAGCAGUAAGGAAUAUUGGUCAAUGGACGAAAGUCUGAACCAGCCAUGCCGCGUGGAGGAUGAAGGUCCUCUGGAUUGUAAACUUCUUUUAUAUGGGACGAAAAAGGGUCUUUCUAGAUCAACUGACGGUACCAUAUGAAUAAGCACCGGCUAACUCCGUGCCAGCAGCCGCGGUAAUACGGAGGGUGCAAGCGUUAUCCGGAUUCACUGGGUUUAAAG